RNA transcript from Prionailurus viverrinus (fishing cat), 12965 nucleotides. It is a transcript of the gene named ALS2 C-terminal like, with no coding region annotated. The transcript has 25 exons. The record is from RefSeq and is a predicted model, not a curated record. NCBI's taxonomy places the organism in Eukaryota, Metazoa, Chordata, Mammalia, Carnivora, Felidae.
GUGGGCGGGCUCCUGUGCUCCCGCUUGCCCCUCACUCCAGGUGGGACUUUCGCCUAGCGCCCCCUCGGGCCGCCGCGUCGCCGUCCCUCCACGGCUCCUCGGUCCCAGGCGGCGCUCACAUGGGGGCCGUCUGAGUUUGUCCCAAGGCACCGGCCCCGUUCCCCAUUCCCCGCCCCGUGCCAGGGCCCUUCGGCCUUUCAGCCUCGUUCUCCCUGCCCCGCGGUUACCCUGCUCGGAUUUACGGGCAGCGCAGAGAUAGCGCCCGGGGUUCGUGCACCGCGCAGGGGAUCGGUCCCGGGCUGGGGUGCGAGGGCCGCCCCCGGACCCCAUCCAGCCUGAGAGACUGCCAGGAGGAGGUGACGCCUGCAGUGAGACCGGCAUGGGCAAUGCCUGGUGGCUGGGACAGGAUCCCAUGUUUGGGAAACUCCAGUGACUGUGCGUGUGCCAGGCAGGGAGGGGCAGGGAAGCUGUCAGAGACUGAGAAGGGUUGGGGGUGGGGGCGUAUAGGACAAGAAGCUUAGAGGCAUGGAGAGCCCAAGAAGGAGUGCUGGGGGGAGAAGCCAAAGUGGAGACUGAGGGGUCAGCUGUGACAGUUGAGCACCCCCACCCUGGGGCAGUUCCUCUGUCCUGUGUCUACCACUGGGCUGUUUUAGGGGACUCUGGGGCAGCCCAGGAAAAAGACGUCCAGAGCAAGCAAAACUUCCUUGCUUGUCCACACCAGGAAAUACCAGAGUGGGUGCCAUGACAGGGUGUGGCCUAGGGGCCUGAGGGGCCCGGGGGGGCCAGGUCUUGGAGAGGGCAAGGGAGGCUUCGGUGACCCUGCCUGAGAGCGACCAGGCGUGGAGAGAGGCCAGGAAUGCAGGGGAGACAGCAGGUCUGGCGGCUGGUUAGAUCGACAGGGGAAGGGCAGCUGACUCACCUGGGCACGCCAAGACUAGCCAGUUCUGUCCUCACCCUGCCCCACAGUGAGCACCAAGGCUGCCUGAGGAGGUAGGAGGCUGGGUCCUGCUGGGAACUUGCUGUGUGCCCUGAGGCAAGUCGCCCAGCCUUUCUGAACCACCUCACUCAGGUGACCUGGCAGGACCGGCAGCCAGAGGCCUGGGUCUGAGCCCUGCACAUGCUCUACAGACAUGCUCUACAGAUAGCGUCUCAGCCCCUCUCUUGCCUUCCUCGGCCUCAGUUUCUCCAUAGGUACUUCAUGUGCAGCCUAACACUAAGGAACUUUAGAACUGGGUGGAGGGAGAGGGUAUGGAGGCCAUACUCGUGACCAGAGCCCGGUGGGUUAGGGGUGUGAAGGGUUUGAGCAGGGGUUACUCCUGCUGGGUCCCUCUCACGUUAUGGCUCAGCACCUCCCCCUACCCCCAAACACACACACUCCUGCAUACUCGUGCGUGGUCUGCUCCCUGCUCUCACUCUCUUGGUUGCCUCCAGGAUGAAGGCCCAAGCUCUCUAGCCGGGGAGUGGGGACCCUGGGCACCACCAGACCAGAUCCCCAACCUCAGCCGCAGCCUUCCCCACCACUGCCUCGCCAGCCAUGCUUAACUUCUGGCCUUUUCUCUGAGCAGUGUACCUCAGUUCCUUAGAGGUAGACGUCCCUUUGGAGCCACAGAUCUGGAAGGGUCCUGGAGUAAAUGCCAGUCUGGGUCUGUAAGACUCAUCCCGAGGGUCCCUAGGCUGCUUUGAGCGGUGAAGGAGGCUGAGGACCAGGUCUCUGCACCCAGAGCAACUCCCCACACCAGUUUAUCAUUUCUAAGGAGGACUCACAUAGUUUGAAAGCUCUGAUCUAAACGCACCCCUAUUUCACAGAGGAGGUGACUGAAGCCCAGAGGGGAGCAGGGCUCUGGACAAGCAUGGCCAGGACUGAGCAGUGGGUAGGGGGUUGGCAGGGGGUCCUGUGGGAGCAGCUGAGGUAUGGGCCAUGGGUCCAGGGUAAGGGUAGCUGCCAGCCCCCCAGCGAAGGGCGGGGGACGCCUGAGGUGGAGAGGGGCAGAGAGCUCUAUCUGGGGUGCAACGUGGCUGGGGUGGACCCCAGGUCAGUGUGAGUGUGGGGGAUGCCUGGUGUUCAGGGCCCCUCGGCCUCGAGCUACUGACUGCAGGUCCCCACUCGCCCUGAUCUGGUUCCUAGUCCACACCUCCUGUCCUGGCUGCACCUUCUUCCUCCACCUUUAUUUAGCCAGUGUCCUCACCUCUCAGUUCACACCCCCUACUGACUGGCUGCCAACUGAGGAUGGAAAGGUCACCCCCACCCCCCAAAGGGCCUUUCCCUUCUGUCAGUUUCUGGAGCUAUGGGGGAGGGUCGGGGGGGGGCGGGCCCCACUUGCUGUACCCCUGGCCCCUCAGCUGGGCUCUGUGGAUCUGCCUGAGUUGACGUGGAGCCACCUGUCCCUCUGCCCCAGGUGGGGUGGGGGGAGGUACUGGGGCUGCCACAGGGGCCCACAGAGCAGGCCACAGCUGGGCAGCUGGCCGCUUCCCCUUCCUGUCGGUCCCUCCCAAGGCCUCGCCCUCCUGAAGCAGCAGCAGCAGGAAAGGUGGGGCAGGAAUGCCGGGGCCUGGGCCCUUGGCCAGAGUUCUGAGACACCCGCCCUGCUGCCCCAGAGCCUGUUCCCUGGGAGUUGUAGGUUUUGUCAGGGGCCUGGAAAGGGCGCUGGGGCUCCACCUGUGUCACCUGCCCAUUCCGGCGAUCCCGAUGAUAUCUCCCACCCCACCUAGGUCAGCUUACGGCAGAGCCUCUGAGUGUCAGAGCCAGGGACAGGCAGUCUGAGGGUCUCAGGCUAAGAGACCCUGAGAUGUGUGGUCUGGUCCUUCGGGCAGAUGAAGUUUGCUCGGUGAGGACACCUGGCUCUGGUGGGAGAGCGCUGUGUCUGUUUGGAGGCUGCGGCCUGGCUGUGGGGGUGGGUUGGAGCCCAGGCCCCUUGCUGACCCUCCCUCUCGUCAGAAAGCCACAUUCUCAGGGGAUCUCUGCCUGCUUGGUGCGUUCCUCACUCCAUGGUGGGGAGUCCAAAGACUCAAGCCCACCUGCCCGCCCCCACAACCCCUACCUCUUUGCUCUGGGCACAGCAGGGUCAGCCAGGUUGAGGGGCACGGAGGGUCUGGCUCUCACCCCUGCUGACCUCACUCUGCCACUGCUGGGCCCUGUCUCCUCUCCAGCUGUCACCACAUCCAUCUCCCCAAGUCUGAUGUUGGGUCCUACCACGCUCCCUUGCCCUGAGAUCCUCCAUAACUCCUCCACUGGCCACGUAGGCCACUCUUGGUGGGCCACGCGCAGAGCCUGGGCCCUCAUGCCCGUGAUCCUUUGCUCUCACUGUACCCAUGAUCCUUUGCUCUCACUGUGCCCAUGAUCCUUUGCUCUCACUGUGUCCAUCUGCAUGGCCUGAGCCAUGGCCUUGAGAAAAAAGCUGGGUUCCUCUGACAGUGUGUCCUUGUUUCCAGAGACUCUGUGGAGGGGGAGCUAGGUCAGAGCACCACUAGAUAUUACUCUGAACCUCGGGAGCCAUGGUGGAUGUUUGAGCAGGGGAAUGAGCAGGCCAGAACUGGGCUUGAGGAGCACCUGCCUUUUGGGCUAAAAAGAGGUGUUUCCCUAGGCAGUUCUGAACCCUCACUGCCUCUCCAUCAGGUCCCCUCUGCUGGGCCCAGGUGCAGAGCAGGGCAGGGGUCAGUGGUUGGUCUGGGCGUUCCCCUCUGAGGCGGCCCCAGGCUCACCACUCCGUUCUGUUGUGGGCAGUCCCGGGCACGUGGGCUGAGAGCGUGGCACUGACCGUGCUCUCCCUGGCGCCCUCUCUCUGGUCUGUGCCCCAUUCGCAGGCCCCGAGUCCAGCAUUCUGGCCAUGUGCAGCCCUGAGGAGGAGGCCCUGCUGCGGCUGGAGGAGGUCUUCUCCUCCACCCUCGCCCGCAUCAACAGCCUCGUCCUCCAGCCCCUGCUCACGGCUGAGCCCUCGGACCCCCAGGGCAGAGAGUGCCUGCGGCUGUUGCAGCAGCUACACAGGAGCUCCCAGCAGCUCUGGGAGGUGACGGAGGAGAGCCUGCACUCGCUGAGGAGGAGGCUGUGCCACCAGGACUCCGUCGGGCUGGAAUCCCUGCUGUUGUUGUGCGGCGCCGACCGCGUUCUACGGGUGCACGUAGAGUACAUCGAAGCCUACACUAGCUGCGUGGUGGUGCAGGCCUUUCAGAAGGCAGCAAAGAAGAGGAGCGAGUACUGGCGGGGCCAGCGGAAGGCGCUGCGGCAUCUCCUGUCGGGCGUGAGCUCAGAGGCCUCCGUGGGCACAACGCUGGUCCAGGCGCUCCGCCAGCCGCUCGCCCAUCACGUGCAGCAGUAUGUGCUCCUCCUGCUGAGCCUCGGGGACACCAUUGGGGAGCGUCACCCCACUCGGGAGCUGGUGGUGCACGCGGCCACCCUCUUUGGGAACCUAGAGUCCUUCAUGAGGCAGGCGCUGGACCAGGCCACCACCACGCAGGCCCUCUGGCACGCCCUGAGCAGCCGGCUGAGAGAUGUGCUCUGCACCCCUGCUCGCAGACUCCUGCAAGACAGCCAGGACAUACCUGUGACGGUCACCCCGCUACGGGCGGAGCGCGUGCUGCUCUUCGAUGAUGCCCUGGUCUUGCUGCAGGGCCACAGCGUCCACACCUUUGAUCUGAAGCUGGUGUGGGUGGAUCCUGGGCAGGACGGGUGCACGUUUGAUCUCCUCACACCUGAGGAAGAGCUCUCCUUUUGCUCCAAGGACCCCCAGGGCCGGAUGGUCUGGCAGUGGAAGGUGACUCAGGCUGUGUGCCAGGCCCUGCGGGGGAAGAAGGACUUCCCCAUGCUGGGGGCGGGCCUGGAGUCCCCCGAGCCCCCCACCUGCCGCUGCGUGGCAUACACCUUCCGCGCCGAGGGUCGGCUCUGCCAGGCCACCUACGAGGGCGAGUGGUGCCGGGGCAGGCCCCAUGGCAAGGGCACCCUGAAGUGGCCAGAUGGCCGGAAUCACGUGGGGAAUUUUUGCCAGGGCCUGGAGCACGGCUUCGGCAUCCGCCUGGUGCCCCAGGCCUCCGAGGACAAGUUUGACUGUUACAAGUGCCACUGGUGGGAAGGCAGCAUGUGUGGCUACGGCAUCUGUGAGUACAGCACUGACGAGGUGUACAAAGGCUACUUCCAGGCGGGCCUGCGGCACGGAUUCGGGGUCCUUGAGAGCCCCCCACAGGCCCCGCAGCCCUGCAAGUACACGGGCCACUGGGAGAGGGGCCAGAAGAGCGGCUACGGCAUCGAGGAGGAUGGUGACAGGGGUGAGCGCUAUAUUGGCAUGUGGCAGGCUGACCAGCGCCAUGGCCCAGGGGUCAUGGUCACCCAGGCAGGUGUCUGCUACCAGGGCACCUUCCAGGCGGACAAGAUGGUGGGCCCAGGGAUCCUCCUCUCUGAAGACGACUCCUUGUAUGAGGGCACCUUCACCAGGGACCUGACCCUUGUGGGGAAGGGCAAGGUCACCUUCCCCAAUGGCUUCACCCUGGAGGGCUCUUUUGGCAGCGGGCCAGGAGGAGGGCUGCAUACCCAGGGCCUGCUGGACACGGCCGCCCUCCCGCCAGAACCAAGUGGCACCCGUAAGAGGCAGCUAGGUGUGGGCGCCUUCCCCGCGGAGAGCCGCUGGCAGGGCGUCUACGGCCCCUUCCGGGACUUCGUUAGCGCCGGCUGCCCUGGGGACUUGCAGGAGGCCCUGCUGGGCUUCCACGUGCAGAACUCGAGGGAGCUUCGCAAGUCCCAGGAGUACCUGUGCUGCGAGAGGACCCAGCCCGAGGACCGCGCGGGCAGAAUGGAAGACGUCCUGGACGAGCUGCUGCAGCACCGGGAGCCCAGAGCCCUGCGGCAGUGCCUCAGGAAGGCUCUGAGCAACUCGCUGCACCCCCUGGGAAAGCUGCUCCGGACGCUGAUGCUGACCUUCCAGGCCACGUAUGCCGGCAUCGGGGCCAACAAGCACCUGCAGGCGCUGGCCCAGGAGGAGGUGAAGCAGCAUGCCCGGGAACUCUGGGCCGCCUACAGGGGUCUGCUGCAGGUGGCCUUACAGCGCAAGGGCCAGGCUCCAGAGGAAGACGAAGAUACAGAGACAAGGGACGUGCAGGUGCACGGAUUGGUGCUGCCCCUUAUACUGCCCAGCUUCUACUCGGAGCUCUUCACGCUCUACCUGCUUCUCCAUGAGACGGAGGACGGUCUCUACAGCCAGGGCAUUGCCCACCUGAGCCUCUUCCCCGACACCAAGCUGCUUGAGUUCCUGGACGUGCAGAAGCACCUGUGGCCCCUCAAGGACCUCACGCUGACAACCAAUCAGGUGAGAAGAGACUCUCCCUGGUCAGGGACAAGUGCUUCCUGUCAGCCACUGAGUGUCUGCAGAAGAUCAUCACCACGGUGGACCCCCGCGAGAAGCUGGAGGUGCUGGAGAGGACAUACGGGGAAAUUGAGGCCACGGUGUCGCGGGUGCUGGGCCAGGAGCACAAGCUGCCCAUGGACGACCUGCUGCCGCUGCUCAUCUACGUGGUGUCACGUGCCCGAAUCCAGCACCUGGGAGCCGAGAUCCACCUGAUCCGUGACAUGAUGGACCCCAUCCACACGGGAGGCCUGUAUGACUUCUUACUCACGGCCCUGGAGUCCUGUUACGAGCACAUCCAGAAGGAAGAUAUGAGGCUGCACCGCUUUCCCGGCCGCGGGGACUCCAGACGGCCCUGGUAGCCCGGCUGCUCCCGGGCCGACCGCAGAGCUGAGAGGGGCCGCCAUGGUCCAGCCUGGCCCUCGUCGCCCACAGAGCAGAGGACAGGAGGGGCCCCUGGAGGCGGUUCCCGGAGGGGAGGGGCAGUUAGUUUCUUCCAGGGAGACGCUGCUGCUGCCUGCAGUGGGCCGAGGGCGAGGGUGACACGCGUGGGCCCGGAGCCGGGGGCUCCCCCUCCCCCUCGCCCUGCCCCUAGGUCGGUGUUGGAUGACCUCCCUGACCUGCAGCGGCUCACCGGCCUUUUUGCUGCCCGAGCCUGGCUCCCACACAGACCUCGCGGGGCCUCGGCGUCGCCGUCUGUUUACCAGCGGACUAGAUGGUCUGUGACGGGCCUUCCGCCCGUCUUGCUGGAUCCCGGAGUCCUUCUGGAAGUUUGACUUUUUAGGCUGCCGGGCUGAGAUUCUCACAUCAUCGUCGGUGGUGUUCCCUGUUUCCUGGUCAGAGGCUCUACGUUGCUAGUGAGGCCGCUUUUCAUGAGGCCUUUUGUCCAGGGGUGGCCUCCUAGGGUCCUGCCUUGUUUCCGACUCUGCCCCGGGACUGAGCUGGUCUCUCUGGGCUGCGGGGCUGGACAAACCCCAGUCCACCCUGACCUGCUGGGUGGCCUCCAGCAAGGUCCUAAGAGCCACACGCCUGCAGCCCACGGGCCCGUGUGCAGGGGGACAGCAGUGGCAUGGGGCCAUCUGUGCUCUGUCCAGGCUCAAGACCCUGCAGGUGCAGGGGGAGGACAGGGGGUCUCAGGGGCCUUGGGGAGGGGAGGACUUUGUUCCCACAAUGGUUUCCAUGUGGGACUGAGAGACACGGGAGCUCCGUCUUGGGGCAGCCUCACCCCUGCCUGGCCUCGGUUUCUUCUCCCCACAUCGAGGGGCUUCCACCUGGUGACCUGCGGGGCCCCCCCCUGCCCUGUCACAGGAGACGUGUGACAAUAGGCGGGGUGACUGAUCUGAAGAAGUCCAGGGGCGAAGCAUGGGGAGAGGGUGGAUUUAUGCAGGGAUGUAGCCCUGGAGGGAGAGCUGGGCCCGGCCGCCACAGCCGCCCUGCCACCGUGCCCUGGAUCGUGAGCAACUCAGGUCACCGUCCUUGGCUCCAGGUGUGCUCUCCGGAAAUGAGCACUGACCUCGAGGCCCGUGAGGGAGGCUCUCAGAAAGCCCAGCCACUCCUGAGCCCCAGGCGGAAGCCCCCCAGGAGUCUCAGGGUGGGGGGCUGGUGGUGGCUGGGGGCACCCACAGACCCUGAGAGGAUGGAGGGCAGGAAGAGUGAGGAUAUCCGGAUGCCAUGGGCCUUCGAGCUUACCCAGGACGCUGCCACUGCUAUUUAAUCCUCUCAACGGUGACCAGCUCCUUCUUGUCCCUUGACGAGUAGAACACGCUUGCCUCAAGGCGGCCCUGAGUGGUAGGACGCCUGCAGCCUCACCCCAGAGGCUGCCCCCCCAAGCUCCCUCCAGCCCCCCACACCACCCGGCCUCCGUCAGGAUCCGAGAACUCUCACUGUAGCUCCGAUUCACCAGGACCCCUCCACCCGCCCUGUGGCCGGGCCUUGCCCAGUACCAGCGGAGCUGGAGCCUCUGGGCAGGGACGGGAGCGGCCGAGGGCGGCCGCGCUGUGGCAGCCAAAACCCGAGACAGUGAGGACAUUGCCAGCCGAGGUCAGUGCUGCAUUCGCAGAAGAGACGCUUGGAACCGGGCAGCCCGCCUGCCUCGUGGGCGCCUCGGGAGGCUGAUGGAGACGGGUCACCUGCGGGGACCCCAGCGAGGACCUCUCCCAGCUGCUGCGGGAGCCCCUUUGGCUGCAGGGUCCUACGUCUCGGGAGGUCAGGUUGGCCACCAGGACCUCAUGGUCCCCUGUGCCGGAGAGCUGCGAGCCCAAGGGGGCCCCGUUCCUUGACACCUGCAGGCGGCUUUCUGACAGGCUGCACGGGGCCGCACCAGCCCUGUCCCCGGGGGCCUGGGUUUGGGGCUGAGAGAGAGACACCCGAGAGAUUAAAUGACCUCUCAGUGAGCAGACGCGUUGGAGUCACAGCCUGACCUCCCCCUCCCUUCCACGGCAGCCCUGGGCCUACAUGCGGCCUCCCAUGGUGCCCCUCAACUCCUGCUUCCUGCACCCGCAUUUCCCUUCCUCCCCGCCUGCUCUCCAGCUCCCGCCCCUCGUCGUUCUGUGCCCCACACGCGCCCUCCUCCGGUCCCCUGGGUCCCAGCUGCUCCGUCCUCACAGGCCCAGCUCACGUGAGGCCCUCAUGUCCCAAGGAAUGAGCCCCCCGGCCCCGCUCCAGGGCCCGCUCCCUGGCCCAGUCGUGUUACUGGUGCCUGACGGUGGGUGCCUGCUCCCCCGCCCUCGAUCUCCAGGCGCAGCAACGCCCUCCGCCUCUCCCUGGGCCGGCAGCGAUGGCAGUGAGCGUGAGGGUGGAAACGGGUGGAUUUGGGAAAGGUUGGACUGUGAAGGACCCCAGCCCCGGGCCGGGUCCGCAUUCAAGACUGGCCGGGGUGGCAUCUGUGAAAACAGAAGCCCCUCGGGUGUGACCAGCACAGGCAGGGACCCACGUGGAACGGAGGGCUGGCCACGCUCAGGCCAGGAGCAGCCGGGAAGUUGUUGCCAAACCCUCAGAGAAAGGGGGGAAAAGGCAACGCCCUCUCUGUUUGGGGCUCAGGUUCCUGUCCCCGGGGCACCACACCCGGCAGCAAUGUGGCCGGUCCAGCAGGUUGUCUCCGGGCGCUAAUCUGUUGCGGGUGUUGCGCUCCCACAGCAGGAAGUGUCACGAGGCGGCCAGGUUACACCUGUUGACCAGUUGUGGCUGGUGAUCGGUCAGGGCACAGAGGGGCCCCACGAAGCCCCCCGCCUCCCUCCCUCAGUCAGCGAGCCUCACCAGGGGCCUCUUGGAUGCCAGCCCCGUUCCCUGCACAGGCUACAAUCUGGGACGUGGCCAACAAGGCCCCCGCCCUCUUCAGGUGAGAAGGGCCAGCUGUCCUCCCAGAAAGGGACCAAUGACAGGGAGUAGAGGAAGCGGGAGAAGCCGAGUCCACAGCUACUGAGAAUGGGAGCUGCCAGGCAUCUUAGAGGGAUGCCAGUUCUGACUAGGCCUCUAUUCUGAUCGCCCCCAAGGGUGCUGGGACCAGGGCACGGCCCAGACAAACCCCUUGCCCACUGCAGCCUUGGACAAGGCUGGAGGGAGAGUGUGGGGGGCAGCCAGAGGGGCGUGGGGCUGCUGGAGAAGCCUUAGCAAUGCUGAAGGGAGGCCAGCCCUCCCUGAGCGGGGAACUAAGUGAGCCUCGUGGCCUCAGCUGUCGUCUCUCCCAGAGGGAUGGCCACCCACCAUGGGACCAGUGAGGGGCAGGGACUGCCCUCCUGUGGCCACUGGGGAAGGGGUAAGUUCAGGGUUAGAGUCAAGGUCAGUGUCAGGGGUUAGGGUUAAGGUCAGAAGCAAGGUCAGUGUCAGAUUAGAAUAAGGGUCAAGGUUGGAGUUCAAGUUAAGGUUAGAGUGAGAGGAAAUGUCAGGUUCAGGUCAGUUCAGGGUCCUGGUCCAGGUCAGGACUUUACUGGCUGGCCUCGCCCAGGGUUGUGUGGACGUGAGCUCUGGCUUUGACUCUUGCUGUGGGCCGGAACCAGGGGUGGGGGCCAGGCUGCCAAGGCCUUGACCGUGGCCCAGUCCCUCCCCAGACUGGGUCUUGUUUGCUGUCUCUAAGAACCCUCACUUUGCAAGACCACUGUUCUGCCAUCCGGGGAAGGAAGGGAAGAGUGGGCAAGAGGUGAGGCUGGGGGUCUGGCGCCGUGAAGGUGCCCGGGCAGCGACCCCUUCCAGAUGUGGUGCUGGUGCCGCUAGAGAGAAGGGCUCAGUUUGCAGAACGGGGCUGGAGUCACUAAGUACAGUAUUCAUGACCCACCUGAGGCUGGGGGCUACGGCCCGGCCCCUGCAGCGUCCUGUUGCGGUUUUAAACAGAAACAUUCAUUGAGCGUGGCUGGGACUCCAAACCGGUGGAAGUAAGUAAGACCCGCUGGUCCCCUGUGUUGGGGAGCGGCCCGCCGGUGUCUGGGCUCUCUCCCCCGGCGCCAGGGGCGGGGGUUGGUAAGGAGGGUUUGAAGCCUCGUAUCUAUCUGAAAUUCACAUCUGAGGUUUGCCAAACAGGAGAUCUCUCAGCCCUGACUCAUCAGCAAAUCAGAACCCCGGGGGCAGAGAACAGGGAGAGGCUGUGAAGGGGAAGGGGGGUCUAAGGGAGUAUUCAGCUGCCCCCCUCACCCCCGGGCCAAGCAGUCCUGUGACGCUUGCUGGGCAGUGCAGGGGUGGGGGGGGACACAGAGUUAGCCAGAGCGCUUGGAGUACCCUUGGGUGAAGGCUGCUGGUGGCUGGGGACAGAUGAGUCCUGCCCUGGAUUUUCCCUGGGGACAGUGACCCCUUCCCUUGCUCUGCUGGCUGGAAAGGACCUGCAGAGGCUGGUCUGCCCAGGGCAGCAUCGAGGCUCUUCCUCUGUGUGUCCUGAGCUGGGGCGGCUAUGCCCGGGUCGGGGAGGGGCCUGGGUCUGUGUGUGGGGAAGGGCUAGCAGUCCUGCUCGUCUUACCCAGUCUUCCAACUGUCACUUCCAGGCCUGCCUUCGGAGGCAAGCGCUCCCCUGCCACCCCCCACAUCUGCAGUCCUCAGGAGACGAGUGGUGGGAGAAGAGAGCAGGGGACCAGCAAUGCACACGGGACCUCCCUGAGACCCAGGUCUCGGGGCCACUGCUUCAUCCAAAGGGACCUUCUACACCCUGCUGGUCAUACGGCCGCACCAGGCUCAGUUUCAGGAACCAAAAGAACGUAAGAGGAACCAGGUGCAAACUGUCAGUUGGUGGGGGCGCCUGGGUGGCUCAGUCGCUUGAGCAUCUGACUCUUGAUACGAGCUUGGGUUGUGACCCCAGGGUCAUAGGGCCUGAGCCCUGCGUCGGGUCCACACUGGGUGUGGAGCCUGGUUAAGAUUGUCUCCCUCCCUCUGCCCCUCUCCCCCACUCACACAUGUUCUCUCUCUCUCAAAACCCAAAAAAGCCCAUCAGUUGGUGCCCGCUCUGUAAAUGGUGCAGACAGGCUGUUUACCGGCAGCCUCUGGUCUGUCUCUGACACCAGUGUAGGACCCUCUUAAUCACGAGUUCGUGCAUUUCAUUCGGGUGUGGCCAAGGGUCAGUCCCAGGCCCCAGGCAUCCUCAGGGAUAAACGCAGGUGCCAGCCUCUGAGCUGAGACCAACCCUGUGCUUGCACACUGAACCUUGCCGUUGCCUCCGAGGAAGGGGGGCAUCGGUGAUUGGGCGGCUCUUUGUGUCCCGUCCUGCGUGGGGUCCUGCUCGCUGCAGGAGAAGGAGCCCUGGAGGCACUCACAGUCUUCGUGGUCAGGGCAGGAAGGGAGGGCUGCGUCCUGGCAGAUGGCACCGUGGAACUGGAACUCGAGGGAUGAAUUUGCCAGGCGGGGGGUUGGCACGCCUGGCAGAAGGAAAGGCAGGGACAGAGGCCGGGAAGUGGGGAAGGGCCCGGCUUUCCCAGAAUGUGGAGAACUGGGAACCGAAUCAAGGAGAAGUCAGGCAAACCCAAGGUGAGAAAGCCUUGCAAAACCCGUGGGGGCCUUUUCCCACAUUUCCCGAUUUUCACCCUCCUACGAUGUUGUCCUCUGUCCCCAUGAUGGUUGUCAAACACCCACCAGUUCUUUCUCCCUCUUCCCAUCGAGAUGCGGAGGCAAAAACCCCUGCCCUUAAACCUUGGCCUUUGACGAUGCAGUGGGACAGAGGCCACCAGCCUUGUGAGGCUGGGAUCCAGAAGCUCACGUGGCCUCUGCCAGUUCCCCUGGACAUCCAUGCUGGGAGCAUUUCACCACAGAGAGAGAAGUCUGCCACCCUGAGCGGCCAUGUGGGGAGACCGUGUGGGGACAGCAGACAGAGAGAGAGGUGGACGCCCAGUGGAGCCAGCUCAUCGGGGAUCUGGUUGUUUGGGUCUCCCAGCCCAGACCCUGAGCACGUGAAUGAGAACACUUCUGGGGUGACUGCAGCCUUGGCCGCCCUCUCACUGGAACCUUAGGAGACCCCCCUACAAACAACAGCUGCCUGGCCUAGCCAGUGGGCCCCAGAUUCAUGAGAGAACCAAACAGCGCUGGUGUUUCAAGCCACGGUUUGGGGGUGUCUUUUUAAUGUGACAACAGAUGAACGGAACAGUCCUUUCGCCAUUAUCCACUAUUCAUCAUUUAAUUAAAAACACUUUUAUAUGCUUCAUUUAAAAAAAAAAGUUUUUUCUCAUUGCA